GACGAACGCUGGCGGCGCGCCUAACACAUGCAAGUCGAACGGAACUGUUUUGAAAGAUUUCUUCGGAAUGAAUUUGAUUUAGUUUAGUGGCGGACGGGUGAGUAACGCGUGAGUAACCUGCCUUCAAGAGGGGAAUAACAUUCUGAAAAGAAUGCUAAUACCGCAUGACAUAUCGGAACCACAUGGUUUUGAUAUCAAAGAUUUUAUCGCUUGAAGAUGGACUCGCGUCCGAUUAGUUAGUUGGUGAGGUAACGGCUCACCAAGACCGCGAUCGGUAGCCGGACUGAGAGGUUGAACGGCCACAUUGGGACUGAGACACGGCCCAGACUCCUACGGGAGGCAGCAGUGGGGGAUAUUGCGCAAGGGGGGCAACCCUGACGCAGCAACGCCGCGUGAAGGAUGAAGGUUUUCGGAUUGUAAACUUCUUUUAUUAAGGACGAAAAAUGACGGUACUUAAUGAAUAAGCUCCGGCUAACUACGUG
This 482-nucleotide ribosomal RNA is filed under the name uncultured bacterium. RNAcentral describes it as "partial 16S ribosomal RNA". It matches the Rfam family "Bacterial small subunit ribosomal RNA", at positions 28 to 507 of the family's 1533-position model. The record is from RNAcentral.